RNAcentral lists this ribosomal RNA (113 nucleotides) under Prevotellaceae bacterium. The record is from RNAcentral. Lineage: Bacteria; Pseudomonadati; Bacteroidota; Bacteroidia; Bacteroidales; Prevotellaceae.
UUAGGUAGCUAUUGCGACGGGGCUCCACCUCUUCCCAUCCCGAACAGAGAAGUUAAACCCGUUUGCGCCGAUGGUACUGCUAUAACAAGUGGAAGAGUAGGUAGCUGCCAAAU